GUAAGAGGCAUCUGCCCUCAAGAUUAUGCUUCAGAUUCAAAGACAGCUUUUUAUAAAGCAAUUCAAAUGAUGACCCAUCUGUUACCGAGGGAAUUUAGGAAAUGAGUAGAGACACAUUAUUCAGCAAGACGCCCCUCUCCUCAGCCUUGCACUGUCUGCCAUGUUACCAGGACAUGCCCUGCCAGCUAAUACAUAUUUUCUUGCAAUAGACCAAAAAU
Molecule: long non-coding RNA, 218 nt
Filed under: Homo sapiens (human)
Lineage: Eukaryota; Metazoa; Chordata; Mammalia; Primates; Hominidae
Description: HSALNT0196322
Source: RNAcentral